GUGAUCAGAAAAAAUAGAGUGACAGGUGAUGGAUUUCUUGUUGACAACAUUUUCAUUGCAAAUUUCAAUGAAAGCAGAGUUGAGGUCCUUCCGGUGUUCCGAAGUGAGUCGGCACGCUGAUCAAGGAGAGGAAGAGUCCACCAGAUCGAGGCACGGGGGCCUUGUUGGUCAAAUUUUAGUUGCUGGUGCUACUGAUGGAUGCGGUUUAACAGCAGCAGUUCGACGGUGAUGGCGGAUGUGAUCUUAGGACAAGAUGCGAAGACCACCAGAACGGAGUCGAAGAUUUACCAGGGUGUACUAUUUUCAAAUGCAACACAUCCAGACGAUACGCAGAAAUGUGUGGUGGCAAAAAUAGUGUAUUUUUAUCAUAGAAAAUUUUCCGUUCAAAUAAAAUAUAUGUUAUAAUGUUU
Long non-coding RNA from Culex pipiens pallens (northern house mosquito), 410 nucleotides. RefSeq lists it as uncharacterized. The record is from RefSeq and is a predicted model, not a curated record. The transcript has 2 exons. NCBI's taxonomy places the organism in Eukaryota, Metazoa, Arthropoda, Insecta, Diptera, Culicidae.